GGGUGUGGUUCAGUGGUAGAACAGCGGUCUCCAAAACCGUUGAUGAGGGUUCGAUUCCUUCCACCC
Molecule: transfer RNA, 66 nt
Filed under: bovine gut metagenome
Rfam family: tRNA
About the family: Transfer RNA (tRNA) molecules are approximately 80 nucleotides in length. Their secondary structure includes four short double-helical elements and three loops (D, anti-codon, and T loops).
Source: RNAcentral